This 72-nucleotide transfer RNA is filed under the name bacterium. RNAcentral's name for it is "tRNA-Ile". It matches the Rfam family "tRNA". From Rfam's summary of the family: Transfer RNA (tRNA) molecules are approximately 80 nucleotides in length. Their secondary structure includes four short double-helical elements and three loops (D, anti-codon, and T loops). The record is from RNAcentral.
GGGUCAGUAGCUCAGUGGUAGAGCAGGCGUCUUAUAAGCGCCAGGUCGGAGGUCCGAUCCCUCCCUGGCCCA